RNAcentral lists this ribosomal RNA (253 nucleotides) under uncultured bacterium. RNAcentral describes it as "partial 16S ribosomal RNA". It matches the Rfam family "Bacterial small subunit ribosomal RNA", at positions 524 to 776 of the family's 1533-position model. The record is from RNAcentral.
UACAGAGGUGGCAAGCGUUGUUCGGAAUUACUGGGCGUAAAGGGCGCGUAGGCGGUUCGAUAAGUCCCGUGUGAAAUCCCUCGGCUCAACUGAGGAACUGCACGGGAAACUGACGGGCUUGAGUUCGGGAGAGGGAAGCGGAAUUCCGGGUGUAGCGGUGAAAUGCGUAGAUAUCAGGAGGAACACCUGCGGUGUAGACGGCUUACUGGACCAUAACUGACGCUGAGGCACGAAAGCGUGGGUAGCAAACAGG